UUCAUCGUACGGUUUCGUUUUCCACCGGAGCUUGCUCCACCGGAAAAAGAAGAGUGGCGAACGGGUGAGUAACACGUGGGUAACCUGCCCAUCAGAAGGGGAUAACACUUGGAAACAGGUGCUAAUACCGUAUAACAAUCGAAACCGCAUGGUUUUGAUUUGAAAGGCGCUUUCGGGUGUCGCUGAUGGAUGGACCCGCGGUGCAUUAGCUAGUUGGUGAGGUAACGGCUCACCAAGGCUACGAUGCAUAGCCGACCUGAGAGGGUGAUCGGCCACAUUGGGACUGAGACACGGCCCAAACUCCUACGGGAGGCAGCAGUAGGGAAUCUUCGGCAAUGGACGAAAGUCUGACCGAGCAACGCCGCGUGAGUGAAGAAGGUUUUCGGAUCGUAAAACUCUGUUGUUAGAGAAGAACAAGGAUGAGAGUAACUGUUCAUCCCUUGACGGUAUCUAACCAGAAAGCCACGGCUAACUACGUGCCAGCAGCCGCGGUAAUACGUAGGUGGCAAGCGUUGUCCGGAUUUAUUUGGGCGUAAAGGCGAGCGCAGGCGGUUUCUUAAGUCUGAUGUGAAAGCCCCCGGCUCAACCGGGGAGGGUCAUUGGAAACUGGGAGACUUGAGUGCAGAAGAGGAGAGUGGAAUUCCAUGUGUAGCGGUGAAAUGCGUAGAUAUAUGGAGGAACACCAGUGGCGAAGGCGGCUCUCUGGUCUGUAACUGACGCUGAGGCUCGAAAGCGUGGGGAGCAAACAGGAUUAGAUACCCUGGUAGUCCACGCCGUAAACGAUGAGUGCUAAGUGUUGGAGGGUUUCCGCCCUUCAGUGCUGCAGCUAACGCAUUAAGCACUCCGCCUGGGGAGUACGACCGCAAGGUUGAAACUCAAAGGAAUUGACGGGGGCCCGCACAAGCGGUGGAGCAUGUGGUUUAAUUCGAAGCAACGCGAAGAACCUUACCAGGUCUUGACAUCCUUUGACCACUCUAGAGAUAGAGCUUCCCCUUCGGGGGCAAAGUGACAGGUGGUGCAUGGUUGUCGUCAGCUCGUGUCGUGAGAUGUUGGGUUAAGUCCCGCAACGAGCGCAACCCUUAUUGUUAGUUGCCAUCAUUCAGUUGGGCACUCUAGCAAGACUGCCGGUGACAAACCGGAGGAAGGUGGGGAUGACGUCAAAUCAUCAUGCCCCUUAUGACCUGGGCUACACACGUGCUACAAUGGGAAGUACAACGAGUCGCGAAGUCGCGAGGCUAAGCUAAUCUCUUAAAGCUUCUCUCAGUUCGGAUUGUAGGCUGCAACUCGCCUACAUGAAGCCGGAAUCGCUAGUAAUCGCGGAUCAGCACGCCGCGGUGAAUACGUUCCCGGGCCUUGUACACACCGCCCGUCACACCACGAGAGUUUGUAACACCCGAAGUCGGUGAGGUAACCUUUUGGAGCCAGCCGCC
Molecule: ribosomal RNA, 1430 nt
Filed under: Enterococcus durans
Lineage: Bacteria; Bacillati; Bacillota; Bacilli; Lactobacillales; Enterococcaceae
Description: bacterial SSU rRNA
Rfam family: Bacterial small subunit ribosomal RNA
Source: RNAcentral